AUUGAUACAUAAUAUUUUACAUAUUUAUAGGGUACAUGCGAUGUUUUGUUAUAUGCUGUUCUCUAACUAACAUUUUUUAAACUGGGAGUAGGUUUGUCUGCCAUUGUGGAUUUCCUGGGCAGAGUGGAGUGAAGGUGCCAAAAGCCAAGAAGACACUGAGGCAGUCUUUAAGAAAGCUCUCUUAGCUGUCAUAGGUGCCGACUCAGUAACCCUGAAGAAUAAGUACCUGGAUUGGGCUUAUCGAAGUGGUGGCUACAAAAAGGCCAGAGCUGUGUUUAAAAGGUACUCACAGAUGUUCAUAGUUGUUACUAGUCCCUCUACCCCAUGCUCAGCCGCUCAUACCCAGAUUAUUUGAAUCACAGAUAGCAUCUGAGGGAGUAAUCUGAUACACUUUUUCUUUUUUUUUAAGAUGGAGUCUUGCUCUGUUGCCCAGGCUGGAGUGCAGUGGCACAAUCUCUGCUCACUGCAAUCUCCGC
This 476-nucleotide small RNA is filed under the name Pan troglodytes (chimpanzee). Its description in RNAcentral is "retained intron". The record is from RNAcentral. Lineage: Eukaryota; Metazoa; Chordata; Mammalia; Primates; Hominidae.